This 542-nucleotide ribosomal RNA is filed under the name uncultured bacterium. RNAcentral describes it as "bacterial SSU rRNA". It matches the Rfam family "Bacterial small subunit ribosomal RNA", at positions 355 to 913 of the family's 1533-position model. The record is from RNAcentral.
UGGGGAAUCUUGGACAAUGGGGGCAACCCUGAUCCAGCCAUGCCGCGUGAGUGAUGAAGGCCUUAGGGUCGUAAAGCUCUUUCGCCUGUGAAGAUAAUGACGGUAGCAGGUAAAGAAACCCCGGCUAACUCCGUGCCAGCAGCCGCGGUAAUACGGAGGGGGUUAGCGUUGUUCGGAAUUACUGGGCGUAAAGCGCACGUAGGCGGACCAGAAAGUUGGGGGUGAAAUCCCGGGGGCUCAACCCCGGAACUGCCUCCAAAACUAUUGGUCUAGAGUUCGAGAGAGGUGAGUGGAAUUCCAAGUGUAGAGGUGAAAUUCGUAGAUAUUUGGAGGAACACCAGUGGCGAAGGCGGCUCACUGGCUCGAUACUGACGCUGAGGUGCGAAAGUGUGGGGAGCAAACAGGAUUAGAUACCCUGGUAGUCCACACCGUAAAACGAUGAAUGCCAGUUGUCGGGUAGUAUACUACUCGGUGACGCAGCUAACGCUUUAAGCAUUCCGCCUGGGGAGUACGGUCGCAAGAUUAAAACUCAAAGGAAUUGA